AUCUUUUACUCCAGCAUCAUAAUUUCCUCCAUACCAGGAAGAUAGGAAAAUGUAUACUAUAUAUCAAGAGAGUAGAUUUUAAAGGAUGUGGAAAGGUACUUAAGAUCCUGUUUACUACUUUUCUGUAGAGAAUGUCGGCCCAGGAGAAAUGGAUGGUAUUGACAAAGAAAUUCUGAAGAUACAAAGAAAAAUAAUUUCAAUGAGAAGGAAAAUGGUAGAUUGUCUAGAAACCAAUAUUGACAUGUAGAGAACUCACCAAACAACUUGAAUUUUAAGAAGACACGUACGGAAAGUGGAAGCAAAGACAGGCAAUUGGGGUUAAAUGACUUGCCCAGGGUCACACAGCUAGAGAACAUGAAACCUCAAGCAAAGUUGGCUUUAACCAGCUCUCCUCACAGACACCCCUGGGGAGACGGGACAGCUUCACCAUCAACGGCUCCUUCUCCUCUGAAGUCCCCUUCCUUGCUCCAGCCCCUCUCCACUCUGCUUCCCCCCCCCCCCCCCCCCGCCACCCCUUCCUCAUUCUGGGAAAGUCCCCAAAGGGAGGGAUGUUUGCUCUGCGUCACUACCCAGCACUCGCCACCAGAGGUCGCCCCGCAACACAUCCCUAAGCAAACAUCCCGGCUUCUCUUUCCAAGCUGAGCGGUGUGACAUUAUUUUCUUUCUCUAUUUUUAUCUAUUAAAAAGAUUUCUCCACAGCCAUAACUUAGAUCCCCCACACUAAAAUGGAGCAACAGGAAGAUAUAAUGGUGCAUUUCAUUUAUGAAUGACCUAUAAUAAAUUACUCUGAAGUGUCCCGAGUGCCAAGAGACGGAACGCUUUGUCUGCUGGUGCCCCGUAUUUCACAUACUUUAAUUUAGCUGACACAUAAAACCCAUCUGACAUUU
Molecule: non-coding RNA, 887 nt
Organism: Phascolarctos cinereus (koala)
Lineage: Eukaryota; Metazoa; Chordata; Mammalia; Diprotodontia; Phascolarctidae
Source: RefSeq, a predicted model, not a curated record